This 127-nucleotide small RNA is filed under the name Marmota monax (woodchuck). Lineage: Eukaryota; Metazoa; Chordata; Mammalia; Rodentia; Sciuridae. The record is from RNAcentral.
GCUGGGUGUGAUGAUGCAUGCCUGUCAUCCCAGCAGCUCAGGAGGCUGAGGCAGGAGGAUCGCAAGUUCAAAGCCAGCCUCAGCAAUUUACCAAGGCCCUAAGCAACUCAGUGAGACCCUGUCUCUA